This 95-nucleotide transfer RNA is filed under the name Anaerolineae bacterium. Its description in RNAcentral is "tRNA-Ser". The record is from RNAcentral. Lineage: Bacteria; Bacillati; Chloroflexota; Anaerolineae.
UAGCCCGCGUUGGGCGUGGCGGUGCAGGUGCUGCUACCGCCUGAGCUAACCGGAUUGGGCGCACAGUUCACCGUUCCGCUCCCUGGCGGACUGGC